UGAAGCCCAACCCCGGACUGAUGUGUUGAAC
This 31-nucleotide non-coding RNA is filed under the name Homo sapiens (human). The record is from RNAcentral. Lineage: Eukaryota; Metazoa; Chordata; Mammalia; Primates; Hominidae.